This 253-nucleotide ribosomal RNA is filed under the name uncultured bacterium. RNAcentral's name for it is "partial 16S ribosomal RNA". It matches the Rfam family "Bacterial small subunit ribosomal RNA", at positions 524 to 776 of the family's 1533-position model. The record is from RNAcentral.
UACGGGGGGGGCAAGCGUUGUUCGGAAUUACUGGGCGUAAAGGGCUCGUAGGUGGCCAACUAAGUCAGACGUGAAAUCCCUCGGCUUAACCGGGGAACUGCGUCUGAUACUGGAUGGCUUGAGUUCGGGAGAGGGAUGCGGAAUUCCAGGUGUAGCGGUGAAAUGCGUAGAUAUCUGGAGGAACACCGGUGGCGAAGGCGGCAUCCUGGACCGGUAUUGACGCUGAGGCGCGAAAGCUAGGGUAGCAAACAGG